Molecule: long non-coding RNA, 2483 nt
Organism: Sorex araneus (European shrew)
Lineage: Eukaryota; Metazoa; Chordata; Mammalia; Eulipotyphla; Soricidae
Exons: 3
Source: RefSeq, a predicted model, not a curated record
CGGGGCCGAGGGAGAGCCCCCCGCCCUGCUUCUUUCUUUUAAUUUAAUCCAGCAUGUCCGACGUUUGGCUUCUGGUGCGCAGAGGCCGGGAGAAGUAACAGAACACCCGUCUGAGCAGUUCCCAGCAGAUGCUUUUUUCAAAAGUACUUGGGAUCUGCCUGGCAGGUGGCUGGAACCGGGCGCAGGUCGGCCCAGCGCCCCUAGCGCACCGGCCUCCGCGUCGCCGGGCUAAGAUCAGGCAUUCAAGGACCCGAAAGCCUGAGCAGCACUGGGUCCAGACACCCCCGCCCAGGGAGCGGGGCCGCGCCUCUGACCAUCUUCCGUCCGUUCCGUCUCGGUCUUUAUCUCUCCUGGCCACACUGCAGCGGCGCGCCGGUCAGGAUGGAGACCGGGAAUUUAUGGCCCAGACGAAGAUUGCCCCUUCUUCACCUGCAAGCAGACCUGGAAGGGGGCACCUCGACGUGCACGAGGCGGGCGAAAUUCCGCAACGAAGAAAAGCCCUUGAACUACCGCCUCUCUCUUAGACAUACGCAGGGCACUUUUACAAAGUAAUCUCUGACAUUUCCUUUAGAAUGCGGCUCCCCAGGAGAAAACGGGCUCUUCUCAGGGAGUCGAGGUGCCGGCUCAGCGGCCGUGGAUCCAUCCUCUCGACUCCCCUCCCUCCAUAUUUGUCUCUGCCGCCUCAUCCGGAGACCCGAAAAAGGCUGUUUAAACGAGACGUCAAGGACACCAGCACCGGCACUAGGAACCCUCCCUCCCCCGCCGGCCGCACUCGGCCGGGCACGGAGGAGUUAAAGCCGGAGCCUUCUGUUGUCGGCUUCCUUUCUCCGCCCCCCACUCGCUCCCGCGGGGCCGCCGGGAUUGGUUGGCACGCUGCCAGGAAGCUGUCAAUCACCGAGUGUAAACAAGGCACUGAUUGGCUGUUGUCCAGUCUGCAGCGGGCCUCCUGAAAAAAGCAAUUACUGGUCGGGCGGUUUCCAGGCGGCCCGGGCCGCGGGAUGAAAGGAGAUAAGCCGGGGACCGUUUCCAGGAUCCCCGCGGGCCGACCGGGGCGGCCCGGGAGCCGAGGCGCGGCGGAGAGCCCGCGGAUCAAAGGAACCCGGAGAGCAGGGGGAGCGGCCGCGGCCGGGCCGGCGUCCCCCGCGGGCCUCCCUGGCCGGGCUGGGGGCGCGGGCGCGGGCGGGCGCCCCGGAGAGCCCGGGCCGCAGGCGUGUGGAGCAGGCUCUGCGCACUUGCCCGGGUGAGGGAGCCAGGGAAGGGGCAGGGCGCGGGCUCCCCGCAACCCUGCAGCCCUCGCGGCCUGCGCCUUGCGCCCUGUACGGGAGCUCGCAGCCAGCUCUGCCUGGCUGCCGAGGGGGACACACACCGCCUGAAGCUUGCACACACGUCUUGGUGCCCGUGGAUGUAUCACACUCCAGCGCACGUGACCACACAGCACCACACUCCUGCAGCCCUGCCCAAGCCGCCGCCUGCCUUCUUCCCAGAGGCCCAGCCACGGUCUGAGGGGCAGAGGUGCGGGCCUGGGACCUCCGGGAAGGGAUGGGCUCCAGGCCUUGUUCCCUGGGGCAGCGGCCGACUCAGACCAGGUAAGUGGGCGGGCUGCAGGUCCUCCCACCCACAGGACAUUUGCACCCAGCCCGGGGCUGCAUCCCAGUGAGUCUCAAAGGACAGCUCUGGACUCAGAGAAGGAGGUGGUGACCCCACAUUCCCAGGGGGCCUUCUGCCCCGCCCCAGGGCUUCUUCCUUCCCCUUGGUGGGGGCAGGGCUCCAUGGAGCACUGAGCUGGGAAGCCCCCGCCUAUAAGCUGCUCCGUGCCCUGACUCCAACGGUGGGAUGGGGCCCGGCCCCAGGUGUGGCCAGUUCCCCAGUGGGGCAGGCCUGGGCGGGGAGAAGGCUGUCCUGGGGACAAAGGCUCCGAGGGAGCUGCCCAGGGCCGGGAGCCCCCAAGCCCACCUGGCUCUGCAGCUGCUCUGGCCCCAAGGCGGGAGGCCGCAUGUUCCGAGGCCGAUCUCGGCUGGGGGUGUAGAUGUGGGAAGAGUGAUGGGUGGCACAGACGGCACCAGGAAUCUCCCAGCCUGGGGGCCCAGCCCCCAAGUUUCUUCUCUGAAGGCAGCUCUUGGUGAAGGGCCUGCAGAUGACGGCCUGCGGGACCCCAGGAGCCCUGCAUCUCUCCCCCGGCCAGUGCGGGAGGGGACCUGAGGGACGGCCCAGGCUAGAUCUGCUCCUCGGCAGAGGGACAAGGUUCUUGGGUGGGACACCCAGAGUCUGGCCCCAGAGCCCCCAGGGUAGGCAGACCCUGCUGAGGCAGGCAGGUGUGGGGGCUGCUUCCUUCAGGCUCCGCCCCAGAGCCCCGCCCAGAGCUCGGGGUGGGUUUGCAGUGAUCCUUGGGGGCUGUUGGUGGGUCUGUGCUCUGGGGAUGGCCCUGACUCCAACCCCAGCUGUGUGCAAGCCAGCGCCAGGGGCUCUCAGGCUAGUCCAGCCCA